This 466-nucleotide ribosomal RNA is filed under the name uncultured bacterium. RNAcentral describes it as "partial 16S ribosomal RNA". It matches the Rfam family "Bacterial small subunit ribosomal RNA", at positions 28 to 507 of the family's 1533-position model. The record is from RNAcentral.
GAUGAACGCUGGCGGCGUGCUUAACACAUGCAAGUCGAACGAUGAAGCCCAGCUUGCUGGGUGGAUUAGUGGCGAACGGGUGAGUAACACGUGAGUAACCUGCCCUUAACUCUGGGAUAAGCCUGGGAAACUGGGUCUAAUACCGGAUAGGAGCGCCUACCGCAUGGUGGGUGUUGGAAAGAUUUAUCGGUUUUGGAUGGACUCGCGGCCUAUCAGCUUGUUGGUGAGGUAAUGGCUCACCAAGGCGACGACGGGUAGCCGGCCUGAGAGGGUGACCGGCCACACUGGGACUGAGACACGGCCCAGACUCCUACGGGAGGCAGCAGUGGGGAAUAUUGCACAAUGGGCGAAAGCCUGAUGCAGCUACGCCGCGUGAGGGAUGACGGCCUUCGGGUUGUAAACCUCUUUCAGUAGGGAAGAAGCGAAAGUGACGGUACCUGCAGAAGAAGCACCGGCUAACUACGUG